GGAUAUGAGGGCGAGCUGGCUGCGACAUCUGUCACCCCAUUGAUCGCCAGGGUUGAUUCGGCUGAUCUGGCUGGCUAGGCGGGUGUCCCCUUCCUCCCUCACCACUCCAUGUGCGUCCCUCCCGAAGCUGCGCACUCGGUUGACCUUCCCCGCUAGAGGAGGACUGGUCUUCGGUCAAGGGUAUAUGAGUAGCUGCGCUCCCCUGCUAGAACCUCCAAACAAGCUCUCAAGAAUGAAAAAGCUUUCAGUGAUUAAAGGGGUAAAAUUCAUUCAUUUGUAAAUGUCACUUAAAUGAAAGCCUUUU
This 304-nucleotide small nuclear RNA is filed under the name Oryctolagus cuniculus (rabbit). RNAcentral's name for it is "7SK RNA". It matches the Rfam family "7SK RNA". From Rfam's summary of the family: 7SK was discovered as an abundant small nuclear RNA in the mid-70s but a possible function has only recently been suggested. Two independent studies have found that 7SK RNA binds the CDK9/cyclin T complex (known as elongation factor P-TEFb). The record is from Rfam by way of RNAcentral. Lineage: Eukaryota; Metazoa; Chordata; Mammalia; Lagomorpha; Leporidae.